AAACCGCCCAGAGGUAAACGGGUGGAUCCGCAAAGUCGGCCCGCGGAAUUCAGCGCAGCGCGCAGACCUGGGCUGUCGCAGUUCGAGAUCCCUGGGACUCAGCCGCGACGUCGUUCGGGUCUCCGCUGCGUGCACUUUCCGCGGGCAGAGUGCCACAACCGGUUCGGCGGCGGCUACAUGCUUGGAGGGUUGUAGGUGGGGGCGCUUGCGUCCCUACCAGCCCUUCUUUCGCGAGCCGCUGGCCGGACCGAGGGAACGCCGCGCGCUUCGAGGCCACCCUCCCCUCCUGGUGAGUUCGACUGGGAGAGACUGGGCAACCGUGUCUCCCGACCGCUCAUCGGCGAUCGGCGUGGGGCUGGCCGGGCGUGCAUUGUCUGUCAAGGUUGGUGGCAAGUAUGUCGGCAUUCCACCCGACCCGUCUUGAA
Molecule: ribosomal RNA, 425 nt
Filed under: Trochulus hispidus
Lineage: Eukaryota; Metazoa; Mollusca; Gastropoda; Stylommatophora; Hygromiidae
Description: partial 28S ribosomal RNA
Source: RNAcentral